Molecule: ribosomal RNA, 253 nt
Filed under: uncultured bacterium
Lineage: Bacteria
Description: partial 16S ribosomal RNA
Rfam family: Bacterial small subunit ribosomal RNA
Source: RNAcentral
UACGUAGGGGGCAAGCGUUGUCCGGAUUUAUUGGGCGUAAAGAGCGUGUAGGCGGCCUGGCAGGUCAGCUGUGAAAACUCGAGGCUCAACCUCGAGACGCCGGUGGAAACCAUCAGACUAGAGUCCGGAAGAGGAGAGUGGAAUUCCUGGUGUAGCGGUGAAAUGCGCAGAUAUCAGGAAGAACACCCGUGGCUAAGGCGGCUCUCUAGUACGGUACUGACGCUGAGACGCGAAAGCGUGGGGAGCGAACAGG